UGUUUUUGAUGUCACUGACUGCUUUGAGAAAUGUUGAUCAAGGCUAUUGUACGAUGCCCCUCUGUUGGAACUCAUCUAAUGUUUUUGUCAUAAUCAUGAGACGUGGAUGAAUGGGUUAGGGAGGAAGAUCAUAGAGAUAAAGUAUCAUCAUCAGUAUAUCAUAUCAACAUGAUUAGCAACAUGGUUGUCAUUGUGGAUGUUCACCUGGCAGAAAUAUUGCUAGCCAGGUUUCUCAACUAUAAAUUUACUCUUUUUCUUCCACUUUUCCAUAAUGUACUCUUUGGAAGAAGUCACUAUAAGAAACCAACACUUAAGGAAAGGGGGAAGUGGUGGUUAUCCAGCCUUUUUUAGGGCAGAAUAUCUAGAUAAUUUACUUGACAUUCUGAUGUGUCUAUUCAUACUUAUUUUUACCCACAGGGAUGAAUGCAGUGCCCUCAACACAGUAAUCUCUUACUGUAAGUCACACUGUCUGCAGUUUUCCAGAUGAGGACUGCUUCCAGAAAUGAAGGCCUCCACCAGCUCACUGAGGACAAAAAUGAGAAUAAGAAAUAAACUGAAAUUUGGAGAAAUAGGACUCCUUGCAAGACAGCCUUGAAGUUCGAGUUUGCCAAUCAGAUUUAUAAGUGGGCCACUGGCAUCUAUAAUGAGAGAGAAGAAGGAUGUAUUCAGCAUCAGUCCGAGUUUCUUGAACCCAGAAACCACUCAACCUGCAA
Condylura cristata (star-nosed mole) is the source of this 713-nucleotide long non-coding RNA. RefSeq lists it as uncharacterized. The transcript is spliced from 3 exons. The record is from RefSeq and is a predicted model, not a curated record. NCBI's taxonomy places the organism in Eukaryota, Metazoa, Chordata, Mammalia, Eulipotyphla, Talpidae.